This 464-nucleotide ribosomal RNA is filed under the name uncultured bacterium. RNAcentral's name for it is "partial 16S ribosomal RNA". It matches the Rfam family "Bacterial small subunit ribosomal RNA", at positions 338 to 795 of the family's 1533-position model. The record is from RNAcentral.
CCUACGGGAGGCAGCAGUAGGGAAUUUUCGUCAAUGGGGGGAACCCUGAACGAGCAAUGCCGCGUGAGUGAAGAAUGUCUUCGGAUCGUACAGCUCUGUUGUAAGAGAAAAACGGGUAUCAUAGGGAAUGAUGAUAUCGUGAUGGUAUCUUACCAGAAAGCCACGGCUAACUACGUGCCCGCAGCCGCGGUAAUACGUAGGUGGCAAGCGUUAUCCGGAAUGAUUGGGAGUAGAGGGGGCGUAGGCGGCAAAAACAGUCUGACGUAAAAGGCGUUGGCUAAACCAACGUAAGCUUGGGAAACUGUUAAGCUAGCGUGCAGGAGAGGUGAGUGGAAUGCCAGGUGGAGCGGUAAAAUGCGUAGAUAGAAGGAGGAACACCAGUGGCGAAGGCGGCUAACUGGCCUGUAACGGACGCUGAGGCACGAAAGCGUGGGGAGCAAAUAGGAUUAGAUACCCGAGUAGUC